Molecule: long non-coding RNA, 1561 nt
Organism: Myxocyprinus asiaticus (Chinese sucker)
Lineage: Eukaryota; Metazoa; Chordata; Actinopteri; Cypriniformes; Catostomidae
Exons: 4
Source: RefSeq, a predicted model, not a curated record
UUGACUUUGUGAAGUAGUUUACCCUGCCGUAACAAGUGGUUUUCCAUUGCCGAUUGUUUUCAUGUUAUGACAAUUGCCUGUUUUUCUGGAUUUACUGCCUUUUGGCUACCAAAAGGGGUUACUAAGACCAGCUGAACAACCUAUGAGCUGCCAACGAAUGUUUGACACAAUACAUUCACUCACUGCCAGCUCCCCAUGCUAAACCGCAAAGCUCUCGAUUGGGCCGCCGCUGUUUGGGAUAAAGAUACUCAAAUCCAGGUUUCAUUUGAUUACUUCCUUCAACAAAUCCACGAAGUCUUUGAGUAUCCAGCAGGUGGCCAAGAUAUUUCUGUUCAGCUACUUCAUCUAUGCCAGGGUCAUCGAUCAGCAGUGGAUUAUGCAGUUCUGUUCAGGACACUAGCGGCUCAGAGUGGGUGGAAUGAUGUCGCUCUGAAGACUGUUUUCCGCGAAGGGCUUAACCUGAAACUCAGGACGGAACUGACCUGCAAGGGUGAAGUCUCAGUACAGGCCCAGGCAUCCACUGUAUCCCCCGAACCCACGCAAGUUGCCUACACUCGUGUUUUCAUGGAGGAACGCCAACGUCGAUGCAACGAAAACCUUUGCUUUUAUUGUGGCUUACCAGGUCAUCUCAAUGCUGCAUGCCCUUACAAGAAAUGAAGUUCUCCUGAGUCAAGGCAAAAUCUUUAGUGGAUUCUGGUGCUGCUGUUAGUCUCAUUAAUCAGGAGAUUGUACAAGAACUCAACCUAUGCACCAUUCAUUGCUCCCCAAUGAUUAACAUCACCACUGUUGACAACACUCCUAUUGGUACUGGCAUAACCCAACAGACUGUUCUGAUAACCAUCAAGGUUAACCAAUCUCACUAUCUGUCAUCAGCUUGCCCAAGCAUGCUCUUAUCCUGGGUCAUCCCAUGUGUCCUUGCUGAAACCCAUCCACCCGGCGUCUGGCGCUUGAACCACGGAUUCUGAGCCUCCACCUCCAUUGGAGGCGUAUAUGGUCGGAGAGAUCAUGGACCCAAGACGAUGAGGGAGCCAGAUGCAAUACUUGGUGGACUGGGAGGGCUAUGGACCAGAGGAGAGAUCAUGGGUAGCCGCCAAGGACAUAUUAGACCCAUCCCUGAUCCAAGAAUUUCAUCAUGCCCAUCCAGCACCACGACCAAGGGGACAUCCCAGUAGAAAGACACCAGGAGUUGUUCGUAGAGGGAGGGGGGGGUUUCUGUAAUAUCCAAGGUUGUUACCCCUCCUACCAACCACUAGAGGGAGCCCUCUCCUGAAUAUUAACUCUGUACCAUUUCUUCUUUGGUGACUUCCUGUUUAAACUAUAUAAAUACCAUGCUGUUCCAUUUUGACUUUGCGAAGUAUUGCCAGUUUACCCUGCCUUAACAAGCGUUAUUCCAUUGCCUUUGCUGAUUGUUUUCGUGUUAUGACCAUUGCCUGUUUUCCUGGAUUUACUGCCUUUUGGAUACCCCUUUGUUUUGUUUGCCUUGUUUGGCUGUCUUUUUGGUUUACUGGAUUAUACCACUUGCUUAACGACUACCUCUAUUUGCAUGCCGAUUUGGAUUUGU